CUACAGCACUUACCAAUCAUCCCCUUAGUACACAAUCUAAAGCAUCUUUCUUUUGAUUUGCAAGAUAUUAUAGAACAAAAAUGUUGCAUUUUCAUAGCCGACUAAAGAGCAUUUUUCGCCUACUCUGUUCCCAAGAGAUUAGAGUUUCAGAACGCCAUGGAAACUUACACAAAAGAACAAUGUUCCCAAAGAAAUCAGACUCCAUGUAUGAAACCAAGAUGCACCCUGAAUCAAACUCAGGUCCUAACCAGACCCGUCUUAAAGAUAAAAUGGACCCUGAGCAAAAAUGAUAAACUGAGUCCAUUUCUUCACCUAGCUUAGUUAGGAAAGAUAAACACACUCUCUUCUUCAGAUUCUACUGGUUUCUUCCGCUUCCUCCCAUUCUCUGCUACCUCUUUCUUUACUUGUUACUGAACCAUUGUAACAAAAACGUAAAAAAAAAGCAACCUUUAUCUAAAAAAAAAGCAACUUCUAAAUCAUUUAGAAGUAAUGCAUUGAACAACUUAACUUCGCUAGACCUAAUUACAAUUGCUUUAAAAAAAAAAAGAUUUCAAACAAGAUAUAUAAGCAACACUUGAGUGCAGUAGACACUUGAGUAAACAAUUUGAUAUUCUUCAAAAUCUAUACUUUCCAACUCAGUCUAAAAGCUGCAAGCAAGUCUCAAUGGAUUGAUUAUCUUCCACGGAAACUAAAUUGCAUGAACCAGUCCAAAGAGAGAAAAAAAAAGUUCUAUCUCUUUUUUUUUUUACCAUUCUAAUCUCUCUCAAACUUCUUCAGAACAGUUAACACAUGAUUCACUACCAGUCUACCACCAAUAACAAACAAGAGAGUGAGAGAGACAGACAGAGACUCACCUAUGAACCCAUAAGACAAAAACACUAUCAGAAACCCUAUAAAGGGUUUCUCUUUUCUGCAACCAAACAACUAAAGUAAGCAGAGCAGAGGACAACCCAGAUCAGAAGAAAAGACUGAGACAAUAACCCAAACAGAAGAUAUAUAACAACAACAACAAGUGUUUGUUGAAAUAGAAAAAAGAUGAUUGCUUUCAAAAGACUUUUCUUCUUUUUUUUUUUCUCUCUGUGAAGCUUUAAGAGAGAAAAAAAACGUAAGGAUGACGCUUUCCU
This 1124-nucleotide long non-coding RNA is filed under the name Brassica rapa (field mustard). Its description in RNAcentral is "long non-coding RNA (BRAP_LNC007285)". The record is from RNAcentral. Lineage: Eukaryota; Viridiplantae; Streptophyta; Magnoliopsida; Brassicales; Brassicaceae.